CACGUAGGCGGCUCUUUAAGUCAGGGGUGAAAUCCUGGAGCUCAACUCCAGAACUGCCUUUGAUACUGAGGAGCUUGAGUUCGGGAGAGGUGAGUGGAACUGCGAGUGUAGAGGUGAAAUUCGUAGAUAUUCGCAAGAACACCAGUGGCGAAGGCGGCUCACUGGCCCGAUACUGACGCUGAGGUGCGAAAGCGUGGGAGCAAACA
Molecule: ribosomal RNA, 206 nt
Filed under: uncultured bacterium
Lineage: Bacteria
Description: partial 16S ribosomal RNA
Rfam family: Bacterial small subunit ribosomal RNA
Source: RNAcentral